RNAcentral lists this ribosomal RNA (919 nucleotides) under uncultured bacterium. RNAcentral describes it as "bacterial SSU rRNA". It matches the Rfam family "Bacterial small subunit ribosomal RNA", at positions 33 to 943 of the family's 1533-position model. The record is from RNAcentral.
ACGCUAGCUACAGGCUUAACACAUGCAAGUCGAGGGGAAACGGCAUUGAGUGCUUGCACUCUUUGGACGUCGACCGGCGCACGGGUGAGUAACGCGUAUCCAACCUUCCCAUUACUGUGGGAUAACCUGCCGAAAGGCAGACUAAUACCGCAUAGUCUUCGAUGACGGCAUCAGAUUUGAAGUAAAGAUUUAUCGGUAAUGGAUGGGGAUGCGUCUGAUUAGCUUGUUGGCGGGGUAACGGCACACCAAGGCAACGAUCAGUAGGGGUUCUGAGAGGAAGGUCCCCCACAUUGGAACUGAGACACGGUCCAAACUCCUACGGGAGGCAGCAGUGAGGAAUAUUGGUCAAUGGACGGAAGUCUGAACCAGCCAAGUAGCGUGCAGGAUGACGGCCCUAUGGGUUGUAAACUGCUUUUGUAUGGGGAUAAAGUUAGGGACGUGUCCCUAUUUGCAGGUACCAUACGAAUAAGGACCGGCUAAUUCCGUGCCAGCAGCCGCGGUAAUACGGAAGGUCCAGGCGUUAUCCGGAUUUAUUGGGUUUAAAGGGAGCGUAGGCUGGAGAUUAAGUGUGUUGUGAAAUGUAGACGCUCAACGUCUGAAUUGCAGCGCAUACUGGUUUCCUUGAGUACGCACAACGUUGGCGGAAUUCGUCGUGUAGCGGUGAAAUGCUUAGAUAUGACGAAGAACUCCGAUUGCGAAGGCAGCUGACGGGAGCGCAACUGACGCUUAAGCUCGAAGGUGCGGGUAUCAAACAGGAUUAGAUACCCUGGUAGUCCGCACAGUAAACGAUGGAUGCCCGCUGUUGGUACCUGGUAUCAGCGGCUAAGCGAAAGCAUUAAGCAUCCCACCUGGGGAGUACGCCGGCAACGGUGAAACUCAAAGGAAUUGACGGGGGCCCGCACAAGCGGAGGAACAUGUG